RNAcentral lists this ribosomal RNA (83 nucleotides) under Streptococcus suis. Lineage: Bacteria; Bacillati; Bacillota; Bacilli; Lactobacillales; Streptococcaceae. The record is from RNAcentral.
UUAAGUGACGAUAGCCUAGGAGAUACACCUGUACCCAUGCCGAACACAGCAGUUAAGCCCUAGAACGCCUGAAGUAGUUGGGG